GAUGAAGAACGUAGCGAAAUGCGAUAAGUAAUGUGAAUUGCAGAAUUUAGUGAAUCAUCGAAUGUUUGAACGCACAUUGCGCCCCUUGGUAUUCCGAGGGGCAUGCCUGUUCGAGCGUCAUUAUAACCCCUCAAGCUCAGCUUGGUGUUGGGGCCUGCUGCACUGGCAGCCCUUAAAAUCAGUGGCGGCGCCAUCUGGCUCUAAGCGUAGUAAUUCUUCUCGCUAUGGAGUCCUGGUGGAUGCUUGCCAUCAACCCCCAAUUUUUCUAUGGUUGACCUCGGAUCAGGUAGGGAUACCCGCUGAACUUAAGCAUAUCAAUAAGCGGAGGA
RNAcentral lists this unclassified non-coding RNA (329 nucleotides) under soil metagenome. Its description in RNAcentral is "partial contains 5.8S ribosomal RNA, internal transcribed spacer 2, and large subunit ribosomal RNA". The stretch from base 1 to 120 matches the Rfam family "5.8S ribosomal RNA", at positions 35 to 154 of the family's 154-position model. The record is from RNAcentral.